This 446-nucleotide ribosomal RNA is filed under the name uncultured bacterium. RNAcentral's name for it is "bacterial SSU rRNA". It matches the Rfam family "Bacterial small subunit ribosomal RNA", at positions 69 to 507 of the family's 1533-position model. The record is from RNAcentral.
GGUAAGUUUCGAUGGAAGCUAAUAUCUUAGUGGCGGACGGGUGAGUAACGCGUGAGCCAACCUGCCUUUGCAUUCGGGAUAACAGACCGGAAAACGACUGCUAAUACCGAAUAACGUACAUUGAUUGCAUGUUUGAUGUAACCAAAGAUCCGUCGUGCAAAGAUGGGCUCGCGUCUGAUUAGAUAGUUGGUGGGGUAACGGCCUACCAAGUCGACGAUCAGUAGCCGGACUGAGAGGUUGAACGGCCACAUUGGGACUGAGACACGGCCCAAACUCCUACGGGAGGCAGCAGUGAGGAAUAUUGGUCAAUGGUCGGAAGACUGAACCAGCCAAGUAGCGUGAAGGAUGAAGGUUCUAUGGAUUGUAAACUUCUUUAUACGGGAAUAAAACCUCCCACGUGUGGGAGCUUGUAUGUACCGUAUGAAUAAGCAUCGGCUAACUCCGUG